GCCGGGUGUGGUGAUGAGCACCUUUAGUCCCAGCUAUUCAGGAGGCUGAGGUGGGAGGAUCACUCGAGCCCAGGAGGCUGAGGCUGCAGUGAGCCAUGAUCACGCCACUGCACUCCAGCCUGGGCAUCAGAGUGAGACCCUGCCUCCA
This 148-nucleotide non-coding RNA is filed under the name Pan paniscus (pygmy chimpanzee). The record is from Rfam by way of RNAcentral. Lineage: Eukaryota; Metazoa; Chordata; Mammalia; Primates; Hominidae. RNAcentral also lists the same sequence under 1 other name.